ACGUGGAUAACCUACCUAUAAGACUGGGAUAACUUCGGGAAACCGGAGCUAAUACCGGAUAACAUAUUGAACCGCAUGGUUCAAUAGUGAAAGGCGGCUUUGCUGUCACUUAUAGAUGGAUCCGCGCCGUAUUAGCUAGUUGGUAAGGUAACGGCUUACCAAGGCAACGAUACGUAGCCGACCUGAGAGGGUGAUCGGCCACACUGGAACUGAGACACGGUCCAGACUCCUACGGGAGGCAGCAGUAGGGAAUCUUCCGCAAUGGGCGAAAGCCUGACGGAGCAACGCCGCGUGAGUGAU
This 300-nucleotide ribosomal RNA is filed under the name uncultured Staphylococcus sp. Its description in RNAcentral is "bacterial SSU rRNA". It matches the Rfam family "Bacterial small subunit ribosomal RNA", at positions 115 to 409 of the family's 1533-position model. The record is from RNAcentral. Lineage: Bacteria; Bacillati; Bacillota; Bacilli; Caryophanales; Staphylococcaceae.